This is a small nuclear RNA of Otolemur garnettii (small-eared galago), 142 nucleotides long. Its record names the gene U4. It matches the Rfam family "U4 spliceosomal RNA". Rfam says of the family: U4 small nuclear RNA (U4 snRNA) is a component of the major U2-dependent spliceosome. The structure of U4 snRNA from yeast and human has been reported. NCBI's taxonomy places the organism in Eukaryota, Metazoa, Chordata, Mammalia, Primates, Galagidae. The record is from Ensembl.
AGCUUUGCACAGUGGCAGAAUUGUAACCAAUGAGAUUUAUCUGAGGUGUGAUUGUUGCUAAUUGAAAACUUUUCCCAAUACCCCACCAUGGCAACUUGAAAUAUAGUAGUAAUUGGCAAUUUUUGGACAGUCUCUAUGGAGA